RNAcentral lists this transfer RNA (67 nucleotides) under Ourapteryx ebuleata. RNAcentral's name for it is "tRNA-Phe". Lineage: Eukaryota; Metazoa; Arthropoda; Insecta; Lepidoptera; Geometridae. The record is from RNAcentral.
AUUUAAAUAGCUUAUAUAAAGAGCGUAAUAUUGAAGAUAUUAAGGAGAUAUUUAUUAUCUUUAGAUA